This 370-nucleotide ribosomal RNA is filed under the name Thermoleophilia bacterium. RNAcentral's name for it is "bacterial SSU rRNA". It matches the Rfam family "Bacterial small subunit ribosomal RNA", at positions 1 to 364 of the family's 1533-position model. Lineage: Bacteria; Bacillati; Actinomycetota; Thermoleophilia. The record is from RNAcentral.
UUCACGGAGAGUUUGAUCCUGGCUCAGGACGAACGCUGGCGGCGCGCUUAACACAUGCAAGUCGAGCGAGAACCAGGACUUCGGUUCUGGGGACAGCGGCGAACGGGUGAGUAACACGUGGGUAAUCUGCCCUCGAUUCUGGGAUAGCCCGGGGAAACUCGGAUUAAUACCGGAUAGCCUUUCAAGCUUUCGGGCGUGAAAGAAAAGGUAGCUUCGGCCUCCGAUCGAGGAUGAGCCCGCGGUGGAUUAGCUUGUUGGCGGGGUAAUGGCCCACCAAGGCGACUAUCCAUAGCUGGUCUGAGAGGACUAUCAGCCACACUGGGACUGAGACACGGCCCAGACUCCUACGGGAGGCAGCAGUGGGGAAUCU